RNAcentral lists this ribosomal RNA (655 nucleotides) under uncultured bacterium. RNAcentral's name for it is "bacterial SSU rRNA". It matches the Rfam family "Bacterial small subunit ribosomal RNA", at positions 231 to 885 of the family's 1533-position model. The record is from RNAcentral.
UCGCGGCCUAUCAGCUUGUUGGCGGGGUAAUGGCCCACCAAGGCGACGACGGGUAGCUGGUCUGAGAGGAUGGCCAGCCACAUUGGGACUGAGAGACGGCCCAGACUCCUACGGGAGGCAGCAGUGGGGAAUCUUGCGCAAUGGCCGAAAGGCUGACGCAGCGACGCCGCGUGUGGGAGGACGCCUUUCGGGGUGUAAACCACUGUUGCCCGGGACGAAUAUCCUCUUUAGAGAGGAUUGACGGUACCGGGUGAGGAAGCACCGGCUAACUCCGUGCCAGCAGCCGCGGUAAUACGGAGGGUGCGAGCGUUGUCCGGAAUCAUUGGGCGUAAAGGGCGCGUAGGUGGCGGGACAAGCGUGCGGUGAAAGCUCGGGGCUCAACCCCGAGUCGGCCGUGCGAACUGUUUUGCUGGAGCACUGUAGAGGCAGGCGGAAUUCCGGGUGUAGCGGUGGAAUGCGUAGAGAUCCGGAAGAACACCGGUGGCGAAGGCGGCCUGCUGGGCAGUUGCUGACACUGAGGCGCGACAGCGUGGGGAGCAAACAGGAUUAGAUACCCUGGUAGUCCACGCCGUAAACGAUGGGCACUAGGCGCUUGGGGGAGCGACCCCCCGAGGGCCGUAGCUAACGCAUUAAGUGCCCCGCCUGGGGAGUACGG